Molecule: ribosomal RNA, 1555 nt
Filed under: Staphylococcus aureus subsp. aureus MSSA476
Lineage: Bacteria; Bacillati; Bacillota; Bacilli; Caryophanales; Staphylococcaceae
Rfam family: Bacterial small subunit ribosomal RNA
Source: RNAcentral
UUUUAUGGAGAGUUUGAUCCUGGCUCAGGAUGAACGCUGGCGGCGUGCCUAAUACAUGCAAGUCGAGCGAACGGACGAGAAGCUUGCUUCUCUGAUGUUAGCGGCGGACGGGUGAGUAACACGUGGAUAACCUACCUAUAAGACUGGGAUAACUUCGGGAAACCGGAGCUAAUACCGGAUAAUAUUUUGAACCGCAUGGUUCAAAAGUGAAAGACGGUCUUGCUGUCACUUAUAGAUGGAUCCGCGCUGCAUUAGCUAGUUGGUAAGGUAACGGCUUACCAAGGCAACGAUGCAUAGCCGACCUGAGAGGGUGAUCGGCCACACUGGAACUGAGACACGGUCCAGACUCCUACGGGAGGCAGCAGUAGGGAAUCUUCCGCAAUGGGCGAAAGCCUGACGGAGCAACGCCGCGUGAGUGAUGAAGGUCUUCGGAUCGUAAAACUCUGUUAUUAGGGAAGAACAUAUGUGUAAGUAACUGUGCACAUCUUGACGGUACCUAAUCAGAAAGCCACGGCUAACUACGUGCCAGCAGCCGCGGUAAUACGUAGGUGGCAAGCGUUAUCCGGAAUUAUUGGGCGUAAAGCGCGCGUAGGCGGUUUUUUAAGUCUGAUGUGAAAGCCCACGGCUCAACCGUGGAGGGUCAUUGGAAACUGGAAAACUUGAGUGCAGAAGAGGAAAGUGGAAUUCCAUGUGUAGCGGUGAAAUGCGCAGAGAUAUGGAGGAACACCAGUGGCGAAGGCGACUUUCUGGUCUGUAACUGACGCUGAUGUGCGAAAGCGUGGGGAUCAAACAGGAUUAGAUACCCUGGUAGUCCACGCCGUAAACGAUGAGUGCUAAGUGUUAGGGGGUUUCCGCCCCUUAGUGCUGCAGCUAACGCAUUAAGCACUCCGCCUGGGGAGUACGACCGCAAGGUUGAAACUCAAAGGAAUUGACGGGGACCCGCACAAGCGGUGGAGCAUGUGGUUUAAUUCGAAGCAACGCGAAGAACCUUACCAAAUCUUGACAUCCUUUGACAACUCUAGAGAUAGAGCCUUCCCCUUCGGGGGACAAAGUGACAGGUGGUGCAUGGUUGUCGUCAGCUCGUGUCGUGAGAUGUUGGGUUAAGUCCCGCAACGAGCGCAACCCUUAAGCUUAGUUGCCAUCAUUAAGUUGGGCACUCUAAGUUGACUGCCGGUGACAAACCGGAGGAAGGUGGGGAUGACGUCAAAUCAUCAUGCCCCUUAUGAUUUGGGCUACACACGUGCUACAAUGGACAAUACAAAGGGCAGCGAAACCGCGAGGUCAAGCAAAUCCCAUAAAGUUGUUCUCAGUUCGGAUUGUAGUCUGCAACUCGACUACAUGAAGCUGGAAUCGCUAGUAAUCGUAGAUCAGCAUGCUACGGUGAAUACGUUCCCGGGUCUUGUACACACCGCCCGUCACACCACGAGAGUUUGUAACACCCGAAGCCGGUGGAGUAACCUUUUAGGAACUAGCCGUCGAAGGUGGGACAAAUGAUUGGGGUGAAGUCGUAACAAGGUAGCCGUAUCGGAAGGUGCGGCUGGAUCACCUCCUUUCU